RNAcentral lists this long non-coding RNA (219 nucleotides) under Oryza brachyantha (malo sina). RNAcentral's name for it is "long non-coding RNA (OBRA_LNC000910)". The record is from RNAcentral. Lineage: Eukaryota; Viridiplantae; Streptophyta; Magnoliopsida; Poales; Poaceae.
AACUGGCCAGCCACAACAGCAUACACACAGUGUUUAGCUAGUGCUACCGCUACUCAUGGCCUCAUGGGGGCGCUGAGAGAGCCGUGCAUGUGUGCAACCCAGCACAAAGGCACAAAGUCACAGCUAGCUUGUGCUUAGCUUAGACCUAGCAAAGCAAAGCAAGCAAGCAUCCUCUCUUCGAGCUAGCUGCUACUAGGCACUAGCUCCCACGUAGCAUGC